RNAcentral lists this ribosomal RNA (479 nucleotides) under uncultured bacterium. Its description in RNAcentral is "partial 16S ribosomal RNA". It matches the Rfam family "Bacterial small subunit ribosomal RNA", at positions 30 to 507 of the family's 1533-position model. The record is from RNAcentral.
UGAACGCUGGCGGCGUGCUUACCACAUGCAAGUCGACCGAAGCAUUUGCGACAGAUUUUUUCGGAAUGAAGUUGCUUAUGACUGAGUGGCGGACGGGUGAGUAACGCGUGGGUAACCUGCCUUGUACUGGGGGAUAGCAGCUGGAAACGGCUGGUAAUACCGCAUAAGCGCACAAUGUUGCAUGACAUGGUGUGAAAAACUCCGGUGGUAUAAGAUGGACCCGCGUCUGAUUAGCUAGUUGGUGAGAUAACAGCCCACCAAGGCGACGAUCAGUAGCCGACCUGAGAGGGUGACCGGCCACAGUGGGACUGAGACACGGCCCAGACUCCUACGGGAGGCAGCAGUGGGGAAUAUUGCACAAUGGAGGAAACUCUGAUGCAGCGACGCCGCGUGAGUGAAGAAGUAAUUCGUUAUGUAAAGCUCUAUCAGCAGGGAAGAUAGUGACGGUACCUGACUAAGAAGCUCCGGCUAAAUACGUG